Molecule: non-coding RNA, 74 nt
Organism: Gymnothorax javanicus (giant moray)
Lineage: Eukaryota; Metazoa; Chordata; Actinopteri; Anguilliformes; Muraenidae
Source: the annotation of a GenBank genome assembly
AAAUUGAUGUUGCCUAGUGGUUAAGAUGCCGGAUUGCAAUGCAAGCGACCAGGGUUCGAUCCCCAGUCAGAUGA